GAUGAACGCUGGCGGCGUGCCUAAUACAUGCAAGUCGAGCGAACAGAUAAGGAGCUUGCUCCUUUGACGUUAGCGGCGGACGGGUGAGUAACACGUGGAUAACCUACCUAUAAGACUGGGAUAACUUCGGGAAACCGGAGCUAAUACCGGAUAACAUAUUGAACCGCAUGGUUCAAUAGUGAAAGGCGGCUUUGCUGUCACUUAUAGAUGGAUCCGCGCCGUAUUAGCUAGUUGGUAAGGUAACGGCUUACCAAGGCAACGAUACGUAGCCGACCUGAGAGGGUGAUCGGCCACACUGGAACUGAGACACGGUCCAGACUCCUACGGGAGGCAGCAGUAGGGAAUCUUCCGCAAUGGGCGAAAGCCUGACGGAGCAACGCCGCGUGAGUGAUGAAGGUCUUCGGAUCGUAAAACUCUGUUAUCAGGGAAGAACAAAUGUGUAAGUAACUGUGCACAUCUUGACGGUACCUGAUCAGGAAGCCACGGCUAACUACGUG
Molecule: ribosomal RNA, 497 nt
Filed under: uncultured bacterium
Lineage: Bacteria
Description: partial 16S ribosomal RNA
Rfam family: Bacterial small subunit ribosomal RNA
Source: RNAcentral